Molecule: long non-coding RNA, 1143 nt
Filed under: Gallus gallus (chicken)
Lineage: Eukaryota; Metazoa; Chordata; Aves; Galliformes; Phasianidae
Description: lncRNA (ENSGALG00010017005.1)
Source: RNAcentral
CUUUAAGAACGAACCUGAGAAGCAGAGACCUUCCUUUUCCAAUAGUUUGAAGCCCUCUGGUCUGUUGUGUUUGUUCCCCAGUCUGUGUCAGGUGCCCAAGCAGCUCUGUGAGAUGAUCUGAGCAAGCAAUUACAAUGGAGAUGAGCAGUGACCUUCUCACCCUGUUCAGUGCAUUCUGAUCUGCACGGCUGGCUUUGAACCAGUGCCCAUUCCCAUCUGUAUUACUGACCUGGGUGAGGGGGCACAGUGGUGCACCCCAAUGAGCUCACAGAGCACACCGGGACCGGCUGGGAAGCAGCUCUACAGAUGGGCCUGGUCUUCCUGGUGGUCACCACAGUGAAGAUGAGCCAGCAAUGUGAUAUUGCUGCAAAAGGAAAAAGUCAACGGCAUUCUGCACUGCAUUAGUAAGGGUACUGCAGUCUGUGUGAGGGGAUGAUCCUCCUGCCAGGGCACAAGGAAAUUAUUUGUGUUGAGUGGCCAGGUGGGCAGCCUGGAGAAGCCGUGAGGCCUUGAGGAGUUGCGCUCAGUGCCAGUGGCAAGAGGCUGAGUAAUCCGCUGUUCUGGUGUGGCUUUAGCAGGAGGUGGACCAGGUAUCUCCAGAGGUCCUUGUCAGCCUCAGCUGCUCUAAUUGCUGUGAGUUGUCAAUGAUCAACCAGGCAAAGGAAGGAGAAUGUGUGGCCUGAUGACCUCCAGACUGAGAUCGGUGACUCAGGGCACAAAGUGCUGGUGGGCAGCGCGUGUGCUGUGGUUCCAUAUGUGGAGAAAACCAGAUGCAACAGAAAGAACAACUGAGAAAAGGCAUGGGAAGGGAGAGGAAAUGUUGCUGUAUUACCUCUAAUUGAUCACUCUGCUGCAUCUCAUAGUAGUGCUCAUGCAGCUGGUAGAAAAGAGCCAAGAGAUCCUUCUGUACAAGGACCCAGCUGCUGUGUUUAAUUCAUAAAGCACCACUUAACUUAUGGUGUUGGGUGUGGUGAUUCUCAGAAGAGCCAGAAGGUUCCAUUGGAAAGGCUGGGGGCUGUAACAACCUGGAGAUACUUUUCUCAUUUUGUUCACAAUAUAAAUGAUACUCGAAUUAAUAUUCAUGCUGAAAUAAAGUCUGGGGGAGCUUGGUUAGUACCAUAGUAAGUAAAGAGUACAAGGAAG